Molecule: RNA transcript, 1787 nt
Organism: Panicum virgatum (switchgrass)
Lineage: Eukaryota; Viridiplantae; Streptophyta; Magnoliopsida; Poales; Poaceae
Gene name: magnesium-protoporphyrin IX monomethyl ester [oxidative] cyclase, chloroplastic-like
Exons: 5
Source: RefSeq, a predicted model, not a curated record
CCCAACUCAGCUCGCUCCCGCUGCCCAGCCGCUCGCCAAGCCACCGCCCACCCUCGCCGCCAGCCAAUGGCCUCCUCCGCCAUGGAGCUCUCCCUCCUGAACCCCGCCGCAAUGCACCACCGCGCCUCCAGGCCCGCCGCCGGCCUGCCCCUGGCCCGUCGCUCCGCGGUCCGCUUCCGCGUGUCCGCCUCCGCCGCGGCCGCCGCGCCGCCCAAGUCCUCGGGCCCCAAGAAGCGGGGCAAGACGGAGAUCCAGGAGACGCUGCUCACGCCGCGGUUCUACACCACCGACUUCGAUGAGAUGGAGCGCCUCUUCAACGCCGAGAUCAACAAGCAGCUCAACCAGGCGGAGUUCGACGCGCUUGCUGCAGGAGUUCAAGACGGACUACAACCAGACCCACUUCGUGCGCAACCCCGAGUUCAAGGCCGCCGCCGACAAGAUGGACGGGCCGCUCCGCCAGAUAUUCGUCGAGUUCCUCGAGCGCUCCUGCACCGCGGAGUUCUCCGGGUUCCUCCUCUACAAGGAGCUCGGGCGCAGGCUCAAGAAAACCAACCCGGUGGUGGCCGAGAUCUUCUCGCUCAUGUCCAGGGACGAGGCGCGCCAUGCUGGGUUCUUGAACAAGGGUCUGUCUGACUUCAACUUGGCGCUGGACCUUGGGUUCCUGACCAAGGCUAGGAAGUACACCUUCUUCAAGCCCAAGUUCAUCUUCUACGCCACCUACCUGUCUGAGAAGAUUGGGUACUGGAGGUACAUCACCAUCUUCAGGCACCUCAAGGCGAACCCAGAGUACCAGGUUUACCCCAUCUUCAAGUACUUCGAGAACUGGUGCCAGGAUGAGAACAGGCACGGUGACUUCUUCUCUGCCCUGCUAAAGGCUCAGCCGCAGUUCCUUAACGACUGGAAGGCCAAGCUCUGGUCACGGUUCUUCUGCCUCUCGGUGUAUGUGACCAUGUACCUAAAUGACUGCCAACGCACUACAUUCUAUGAGGGGAUUGGUCUGGACACCAAGGAAUUUGACAUGCAUGUGAUCAUUGAGACCAACCGCACAACAGCGAGGAUCUUCCCUGCUGUUUUGGACGUUGAGAACCCUGAAUUCAAGAGGAAGCUUGACAAGAUGGUUGAGAUCAACCAGAAGAUCAUUGCCAUUGGAGAAUCUGGCGACAUCCCCUUAGUGAAGAACCUGAAGAGGAUUCCUCUUGUUGCCGCGCUGGUGUCUGAGAUCAUUGCGGCGUACCUUAUGCCCCCCAUCGAGUCAGGAUCAGUUGAUUUUGCUGAAUUCGAGCCUCAGCUUGUUUACUGAUUCUGUAGAAAGAUUUAUCCCUGAAUUAUUUUCCGCGAAAGACAAGCUGGUGCUUUCUCCCUGAGGGGCUUUGAAUGGUGAAAUGCUGGAUGGUUAAGAGGACCUGCAUCGUCUUGUGUUCGUCUGUAAAAUAUUGACAACGUAAGGCUUGGUAAGCUUUUGUGGUGUGUCAUCUCCAAUUCUCCAUGCAAGUGACAGUGAACUGCAUCAGAAGCGAGCGUUCCGGUUUUCCAGCAGAAGGGAGCGUCUGAACUCUGAAGUUGUACUGAUACUGAGGCCGAUAGCAUACAUACAGAUCAUUGCCUAAGUCCACUGUAUCACAUAUGAUCUUUGUGAAAUUACUUGUAACUUCUAUUCACACGCAUGUGAAUUUGGAACUAAGAAUGAUGAAUGUACCAAGCAUUAUUGGCUGAUCGUGUAACACUAGAAAGCUAUGUAACACAUUUGGCUAUGAGGCUAUACUAUGUGAAUUUUUACAUAUUUCUUA